RNAcentral lists this transfer RNA (63 nucleotides) under Polyphaga plancyi. RNAcentral's name for it is "tRNA-Arg". Lineage: Eukaryota; Metazoa; Arthropoda; Insecta; Blattodea; Corydiidae. The record is from RNAcentral.
AAAUAAGAAGCAAAAAUUGCAAUUAGUUUCGACCUAAUCUUAGAUAUCACAUAUCCUUAUUUU